CAUACUGGGCUCCACGCCUCCUGUCUUCUUUACCUGAUCCACGGGACCCCUCAACUUUCCUGCCCCGCCUCUUCCAGAACCUCCUGCUCUUCCUGUGGGCCCUGCUGAACUGCAGUUUGGGGGUCAGUGCUCAGUAGGGUCCGGGCGAGUGGACCCCGUGGGUGUCCUGGACCCGCUGCUCCAGCUCCUGCGGGCGUGGCGUCUCCGUGCGCAGCCGGCGCUGCCUCCGGCUUCCUGGGGAAGAACCGUGCUGGGGAGACUCCCACGAGUACCGCCUCUGCCAGUUGCCAGACUGCCCCCCAGGGGCUGUGCCCUUCCGAGACCUACAGUGUGCCCUGUACAAUGGCCGCCCUGUCCUGGGCACCCAGAAGACCUACCAGUGGGUGCCCUUCCAUGGGGCGCCCAACCAGUGUGACCUCAACUGCCUGGCUGAGGGGCACGCCUUCUACCACAGCUUCGGCCGAGUCCUGGACGGCACCGCCUGCAGCCCGGGUGCCCAGGGGGUCUGCGUGGCUGGCCGCUGCCUUAGCGCCGGCUGUGAUGGGUUGCUGGGCUCGGGUGCCCUCGAGGACCGCUGCGGCCGCUGCGGAGGCGCCAACGACUCGUGCCUUUUUGUGCAGCGCGUGUUUCGUGACGCCGGUGCCUUCGCUGGGUACUGGAACGUGACCCUGAUCCCCGAGGGCGCCAGACACGUCCGCGUGGCGCACCGGAGCCGCAACCACCUGGCGCUGAUGGGGGGCGAUGGCCGCUACGUGCUUAAUGGGGACUGGACGGUCAGCCCACCGGGGACCUACGAGGCGGCCGGCACGCAUGUGGUCUACACCCGCGACACAGGGCCCCAGGAGACAUUGCAAGCAGCCGGGCCUACCUCCCACGACCUGCUCCUACAGGUCCUCUUGCAGGAGCCCAACCCUGGCAUCGAGUUUGAGUUCUGGCUCCCUCGGGAGCGCUACAGCCCCUUCCAGGCUCGUGUGCAGGCCCUGGGCUGGCCCCUGAGGCAGCCGCAGCCCCGGGGGGUGGAGCCUCAGCCCCCCGCAGCCCCUGCUGUCACCCCUGCACGGACCCCAACCCUGGCCCCAGGUGAGGUGGGGACAGCCAGGGUGGGGGAUGAGUGGGGACUGAGGCCUGUGCCCCUCACAGCACCGCCCGUCCCACAGACCCCUGCCCACCCUGCCCUGACACCCGAGGCCGCGCCCACCGACUGCUCCACUAUUGCGGCAGUGACUUUGUGUUCCAGGCCCGAGUGCUGGGCCGCCACCGCCAGGCCCAGGAGACCCGCUAUGAGGUGCGCAUCCAGCUCGUCUACAAGAACCGCUCGCCACUGCGGGCACGCGAGUACGUGUGGGCGCCAGGCCACUGCCCCUGCCCGAUGCUGGCACCCUACCGGGACUACCUGAUGGCUGUCCAGCGUCUUGUCAGCCCCGACGGCACACAGGACCAGCUGCUGCUGCCCCACGCCGGCUACGCCCGGCCCUGGAGCCCUGCGGAGGACAGCCGCAUACGCCUGACUGCCCGGCGCUGUCCUAGCUGAGCCCCCGCAGGAGCCCUGGCCACACACAGCAAGAAAGAUACAUCUGACCAGUCUCAACGUCAACGUAUUUCCCCUCUCACCCUGGCUUCCAGGCAGCUCUGAAAUAUGUCCCACCUGUGCAGCUACGUGACUCCCUCCCGCACACGCU
RNAcentral lists this small RNA (1679 nucleotides) under Pongo abelii (Sumatran orangutan). RNAcentral describes it as "processed transcript". The record is from RNAcentral. Lineage: Eukaryota; Metazoa; Chordata; Mammalia; Primates; Hominidae.